This 14108-nucleotide long non-coding RNA is filed under the name Zea mays. Its description in RNAcentral is "long non-coding RNA (ZMAY_LNC003221)". Lineage: Eukaryota; Viridiplantae; Streptophyta; Magnoliopsida; Poales; Poaceae. The record is from RNAcentral.
AUGAUUCAUUUAUUCUUAUAUUUCGUAAACAUCAAUAAUAUUCAUAUUACAUUGGUACCUUCGGUUUGCCAAAAGGUGAGAGAAUGAGGAUGGCGUGAGAGUGAUUACAAUCCAGCGUGAACAGUACGGUGUUAUUGUUCAUCUAUUUAUAGGCACGGGACACAGCCCAGAUAAAAGUACAUUUAUGUCCUUGGUAACUAUCUAUGAUUUUAACAAGAAUUAUUAUGACUGUAUGGUCUUUAUCCUUCUUCAGUCGUUAUCAUACUUGAGCUUCGUCAACAUGUCCAGCUAAAGUCUUUUGGAUUCUAGCUUCGUCGCCCACCCUUUAUUUCCAUUCGUUCUGUCAUGAGAGAAGUUCUCCAUUCCAAAGCCGAAGCUUCCUAUAACUAUUCAUAAUUAUACUGAAAACAUAUGGCUAGUCACAUUUUUUGAGGACCUUCGGAAGAGGAAUGCCCCCAACAGGUCCCAUCAAAUGAACCUGAGCAUGUCACCGUGAUUAACAGAAACAUUAUUAGUUAAAGAAGAGUGAUCAAAGGCACAACUUGCCUUAGACUUGAGAUUUCAGGUACCAAGUUGGUCUUCAAAUUCUCGUGAUCUCAUCGCUACUCGUAGCAAUACAUACAAAUAGGCAAGGAGUACAUAAACAUAACAGUACACCAAACAGGAGAAAACAACUGUGUAAGAAUAUUCUACGCAUUGCUACGGGAUCACAGGUUCGAGAACCACUAAAUUCGAAGUUAUGAUUGAAAAGGUAUGGUUUUCUGAAGUUUUAGAUAGUUAAAUAGUAAAAUAAAAAUAUAAUCUAUGUUAAUUAAUAAUAGGUGAAAUAAUUAUUGUAACGAAAUAACUAAUCCAAGUUAUAACUUAACUAGACAUCAUAUUUUAAUCAAAUUAUAAUUAUAGGAUCAAGAUAUUUCAUUAACUAAAACAACUAAUUCAAUAAACAUAGGUUAAACAAAUUAGUUAUAUAUGUUACAUGAUAAAAUAGUGUUACUAAGGCAUAGACAAUUUCGUUAUAAAGCUAACGCGACUUAAACAGACUAAAUCAUAAUUAAAUGAAGAAGUUAUGGGGUUUCUAAGAUUAUCAUAUUUUUAUACUAAAACCCCAUUUUCAGAUUUAAUUUACUAAAUUCUAGAAAGUCCAAGACUACACACACCAUUUUUUAAGGUAGUGUUUGGUUGAGGAGCCAAGUAGAACGGAGCCGUUCCAUCCUGUUGGGGCGAAGGCAGAGACGCCACCCUUCGCUCGUCGCCUUUCGCUGCAGUCGCUGGUUUGACGAAGACAAAACGGGCAGGGACACCCUUCGCUUUAUUCAGCACCAGACGAAGGCCUGCGGUGACGUCUCCCCGCGGCACGGCCUCGUCCUGCUCUGAGGCCCACGUGUGAUCUGGCCCAUUGUAACGGGCCCCGCGUGACCGCCGCUGUGUUACGGGCCUAGUUUGUAAAGGCAUUCUUGUAAGUACAGCUUGUAACCCUGCUUUAUGGGAAUAUUCUGGGGAUAAACUAGGUGUCCGAGGGCACAUGCGUCCUUAACACGAGGCGCUGGGCACUCAGAUACCUAUAAAUACCCCCACACAGUGCCCGUGAGAGGCUAGACAUUAACAGAGCUAUAGCCCCCGUGCACGUAACCCUGUUGUCACCACCGUUCUCCCUUGUUGGCUUCCUUGCUGCUGAGAGCAAGUACCAACAUUUGGCGCCCACCGUUCGUGCUACGACCAAACCACCCGCGAUGGCACCCAAGAGAGCUAACCCGAAGGCUGAUGAGGCUGCGAAGGCAGCACUGCUUGCCGCAAGGAAGGGCAAGGCCCUCGCCCUCACCCAAUCCACCCACCAAGAGCCCACCGAAGGCAAUAUUCCCCGCACCUGCGAGGACGACACCUUCCGCACCUGCGAGCCCGAAGGACAAUCGCAGCCGCCCCCAGGCUUCGCCCCACUAGAGGGCGCGGAUCUCACCGAGGACGGCGAGGUCCUCGGCGUCUCAACAGAAGAACAGUUACAGCUGCGCGCCCUGCGCCUCAAAAACCGCAAUCUCCAGAGGCAGAAAGAGAUACUGGAGGCCAAGCGCCAGCGUGUGUCCGCACUAGCCAAGGUGCGGCAGAUGAUACGCGACGAGGAGCAGAAGGCCCAAGACCUCGAGUGCGAGAUCGCGCUGAUGCAGCGCGAAGGCCACCUCGGCCUACAGCAAGAGCCACCCCUCCAGCAGCGCGCGCAACCGGAAGACACGCGCGAAGGCCACCUCGGCCUGCAGCAUGGCCCACCCCUGCAACACCGGGCGCAGCCGGAGAACCCGCGCUACCCACAGCAUGACUACGCCUUCCAGCACGGCGCGCCCUUCCAAGGGGUCAACUACCUCGACGAGCGAAGUCCCCUGGCGCCACACCUGCAAGUGACGCCUUGGCCAGCUAACUUCCGGGCAGGGGCAUAUCCCAAGUACAACGGCAGCACCGACCCGGCGCAAUACAUAAUGAGUUACCAAGUCGCCGUUGCAUCCGCCGGAGGGGACGACGCCACAAUGGCGAAGUCUUUCAUCAUCGCCCUGGAGGGCCCAGCACUCACCUGGUUCACCAGAUUGCCUCCGCUGUCCAUUGAUUCGUGGAGAAGUCUCAGGGACAAGUUCCUUCUCAACUUCCAAGGGUACCGUCCGGACACCGACGCUUUGGCCGAGCUCUCGCUUUGCAAACAGCUGGAAAAGGAGACUCUGCGGGAGUAUUACCGUAAAUUCUUAACACUCAAGUCACAGCUGCCCUCCGUCGAUGAUCAUAUCGCUAUCCACUACGCCAUCAAUGGCCUUCGGGCCGGCGUCCUCUACAGCCACUGUAUCAGAGAUCCACCCAAGAACCUCCAGGAGCUAUAUCAGCUCUUUGAAAAAUAUGCUAAAUCCGAAGAACUCCACCAGCGCAAGGUUGAGUCACAGCGGAAGCCCAAAGAUGCCCCGCAGUCCAGCCGCACGUGGACGAGGACUCCGCAACCAGACUCCGGUCGAGAUGGCCGCAGUCAACAGCAAGUGCACAACAUCGCCAACCAGCAGCCUGCUGCUGACCCCCCUCGUCGCCAGGAAUAUCCCCCCCAGGGCCGCGGAAACGGAACUCGCGGCAGGGGCCGAGGGCGCGCGCAGCCGCCGCGCCGGUUCUACUGCCUUUUUCACGGCGAAGACUGCGCCCACCAAACCAAAGACUGCCCCGAAACGAAGGCCACCAGAGACAGAAUGGCGCGGGCGCAGCCAGCCGACAACCCCAGAAUUGUCGCGCAUAAUUACCAGCCACCCCCUCCACCAUAUAUCCACGCUCCCGCCCCGCAUCCGCCGCACCACGCUUACCAACACCAUCAGGAGGUACAAAUCGUACCUCCUCCACCCCCAGUCCCCCACCACCACACCAGCACCACCAAAACAUCCCCCAUGCCCCAAAGCAGGAAGACUUCGCCGAUCAACCAUAUCGCGGAGUCAUUCACAUGAUAACAGGGGGGUCCAGCACUGACUUCGACACCAAGCGGCAGAAGCGGGACCACUACCGCAGCAUCAACCAUGUCGCGGUCACCGGCCCAGUCGUGCAGACGAAGUGGUCCCACAUACCGCUAACCUUCGAUGCACGAGACGUCGACCUGCGCAGUGCCCCCCACAUCGACGCUAUGGUCAUCAAUUGCAGCGUGGCAGGCUGGGACCUACACAAAGUCCUGGUCGACAACGGCAGUCAGGCGGACAUCAUCUUCCUCCACGCCUUCGACCGCAUGGGUAUAAGCCACAGCCUGCUCAAGCCUUUGGACAAUCCGUUGUAUGGCUUCGGCGGCAAAGGCACCUUUCCCGUUGGCAAAAUAGAGCUUCCCCUCUCCUUCGGUGUAGCACCCAAUGCCCGAAGUGAGCAAGUAACCUUCGACAUUGUUGACAUGGUAUAUCCGUACAACGCCAUCAUGGGCCGGGGCUCCAUCAAUAAGUUUGAAGCUGCCAUCCACGGACUGUACCUAUGCAUGAAGAUACCAGGUCCGCUAGGCGCUAUCACGAUCUACGGCAACCAGCAGACGGCGCGCAACAUAGAGCGGGACUUCGUGCCCGGUCAGAGGAAUGUACACUGUCUCACGACCCAGCGCGAGGUCCCUGCGCCCGCCAGCCCAACCGAUAAGCAGCACGAGAAGGCACAGUUGCAGAGCCAAGACGGAACCAAGACUGUUCCCCUUGAUCAGGCCACGCCCAAGCAGACCCUCACUAUCAGCGAAGACCUCACAUCACAUGAAGAAGAGAGGCUUCUCUGCUGCCUGGCCAAGAAUAAAGAUGUCUUCGCCUGGUCCGCCCUAGACCUGGUCGGAGUCAGCCGAUCCAUAAUCGAGCACAGCUUGGGAAUCGACCCUUCGGUGCGACCAAAAAAGCAAAAGCUCCGCAAAAUGUCCGACGAAAAGACGGAGGCCGCCAAGGCGGAAGUGCACCGCCUCCUAGAGGCUAAAUUCAUCGAGCCAGUGGCUUACCCCACGUGGCUCUCCAAUGUCGUAAUGGUGCAGAAAAAAAGCGGGAAAUGGCGAAUGUGCAUAGACUUCACCAGCCUCAACAAGGCCUGCCCGAAGGACAAUUUCCCGUUGCCGCGGAUCGACAAAAUAGUCGAUAGCGCGGCCGGAUGCGAGGUCAUGUCACUCCUCGACUGCUUCUCCGGCUAUCACCAGAUAUACAUGAAAGAGGAAGACAAGGCUAGCACCAGCUUUAUAACACCCUUCGGCACUUAUUGCUUCAUCAGGAUGCCGGAGGGACUCAAGAAUGCGGGGUCCACCUUCUCCAGACUCACCAAAACAGUACUCGAAGGGCAGGUCGGUAGAAACAUAUUUACAUAUGUGGACGACAUCGUCGUCGCCAGCAAGAAUAAGGAGGACCACCUCGCCGACCUCGCCGAGACAUUCGCGAACAUGCGAGACGCACGACUCCGCCUGAACCCGGAAAAGUGCGUCUUCGGUGUUCGCCAGGGCAAGAUAUUGGGUUACCUGGUGUCACACCGCGGCAUCGAGGCCAACCCAACCAAGAUCCAGGCCAUCGUCGACAUGUCGCCUCCGCAGUCCGUCAGGGACGUCCAGCGUCUGACAGGCAGAUUAGCCGCUCUCAACAGAUUCAUCUCCAGGUCCGCCGAGCGAAGUCUCCCCUUCCUCAAAACACUUCGCGGUGCGAAAGACUUCGCUUGGGGGCCGGAGCAAGCAGCGGCCUUCGCCUCACUAAAACAGUACUUAUCGGAGCUGGCCAUCCUCACAAGCCCUGACCCCUCGCUCCCCCUAUUGCUCUAUGUCGCGGCUUCGCCGCACGCGGUCAGCGCGGCACUAGUGCAGGAGCAGACUGUUGAAGGCACAGUCAGACAGUGCCCUAUUUACUAUGUCUCCGAAGUCCUGACACCGUCCAAAUGCAACAUGACAGAGCUGGAGAAGAUCGCCUACGCAGUUGUUAUGUCCUCGCGCAAACUGCGCCAUUAUUUUGAAGCAUUCAAGGUCCGAGUCACCUCGGACAGGGGGCUCGGCGAACUAUUCAGAAACCCGGAGGCAUCGGUCAGGAUUGCUAAGUGGGCAGCCGAACUCUCCGGCUACCACAUCAGCUUCGAGCCCAGGACAGCCAUCAAGUCGCAAGUCCUAGCAGACUUCGUCGUCGACUGGACUGGGCCAAUAACACAGCCGGCCCCGUCCACAGAGAAGAUUUGGACCAUCCAUUGCGACGGCGCAUGGUGCCAUGCGGGGGCAGGCGUCGCUGCAAUUGUCACCUCACCAACCGGAGUCAAACACAGAUAUGCAGCACGCCUCAGCUUCGCUCUGGAGUCCGACAGAUGCACAAACAACAUCGCAGAGUAUGAAGCGGUUAUCCUCGGCCUCCGCAAGCUAAGGGCCCUCGGAGUCACCACAUGUAUCAUCAAGACAGACUCCAAGAUAGUUGCCGGCCAGAUCGAGAAAGAUUAUGCAGCAAAGGACCCCGCGCUCAUGCAAUACCUCGCGGCUAUCCGAAGUCUCGAGAGACAGUUCAAGGGAUUCACCCUGCAGCAUGUGGAUAGGGCCAAGAACGAGGAGGCCGACGCAUUGGCCAAGGCCGCCGCCAGGGGCGAGCCCUUGCCCUCCGACGUGUUCUUUCACACCAUCGGCACGCCCGCCGUCCGGAGCCCCGAAGGGCUCCAAAUAACUAAUGAUAGCGAGGGCCACCAUAUAGUCAACCUAAUCAUGACCGAAGACUGGCGGGCACCAAUAACCCUGUUCCUACAGGGGUACUAUCAUCCAACUGACGUCAGUGAGGCAAAGCGCCUCAGACAUCGAAGCAGGGACUUCGCACUGAUUGAGGGCCAAUUAUACAAGAAAGGGGUCAGUCAGCCAAUGCUGAAAUGCGUCACCGAAACCGAAGGCAUGCAGAUCCUACGCGAAGUCCACAGUGGCACGUGCGGCUCGCACGCAGGGCCAAGGGCCCUGGCUGCCAAGGUGAUCCGAUAAGGGUUUUACUGGCCCGCAAUGAUCUGCGCAGCAAAUCGGGUCACGAGGUCCUGCGAAGCCUGCCAGAAGUUCUCUCCUCGGUCAGGCAACCCCUCGCAAUAUACAAAGCUGAUUGCCCAUACAUGGCCUCUCCAGCGCUGGGGCCUGGACAUCGUCGGGCCCCUGCCCACCGCUCAGGGGAACCUUAAGUUCGCCUUCGUAGCCGUCGAAUACUUCACCAAAUGGAUUGAAGCGAGGGCUGUUUCCACAAUCACAUCAAAGACUGCCCAAAAAUUCUUCUGGCAGAACAUCGUUUGCCGCUUCGGAGUACCGUCCGAGCUAACAGUUGACAACGGCAAGCAGUUCGACAGCCAAGAUUUCAAGGAUUUUUGUUUCUCCAUCGGCACCAAGCUUGCCUUCGCUUCAGUCUAUCAUCCGCAGUCCAACGGGGUCGUGGAGCGCGCCAAUGGGAAAAUAUUCACAGCUGUCAAAAAGAUGCUCCUCGAUGAAAGAAAAGGCAGAUGGACCGAUUUAUUACCGGAGGCAGUCUGGGCGCUAAACACAACUGAGUGCAGGGCGACCGGGUUCACUCCUUUCCGCCUUCUAUACGGAUCGGAGGCAAUGACCCCGCAAGAAAUAAAGCAUAGGUCCCCGCGUACAGUUCCGUCAGCCGUCCCCGACGUGGAUGAGCCAACUUCAAAAGAUCUCAUUGACGGAGACCGGGUCUUCGCCCUACAGGCCCUAAACAAAUAUCAAGCCCAAACCAAAGCAUGGCGCGACCGCGCAGUCAUCCCGAGGGAGUUCAGCGAGGGGGACCUCGUACUCAUCCGGACAGCUCGGACGGAGUCCAAGGGCAAGCUGGAGCCCAAGUGGGAGGGCCCCUUCAUAGUCAAGUCAAAAGCUUCCCCCAGCGCUUACAGGCUCACAACGCCAAACGGCGAGGACCUGGAGCACUCCUGGAACAUCGACAACCUUCGCAAAUUUUUUGUUUGAUCCAUUUAGGGCCGAUUUCGCCCUUGUAAUUCUCCGCAAACGAUCUUGUACCGGCCCGCACUCUUUUCCUCCCGGGGGGUGAGGUUUUUAACGAGGCGGAGCCAUGUAAUAUAUGUGAGAAAAAUCCCCCGCAAAAACAUGUGUCGAAAAAAGACCGCGACACCGGUCUUCGGCAUUCGACCAAUUCGAAGUCACCGCGAGGCUAAGCGCUAGCCACCCUCGCGUGCGACAAGUCCGCGCAGAAGUCGCCUAAGGGUGCAGCCGGACUCAGCACAACAAGUGCGAAAAAUUCCGACGUCUAUCACGAAGACUAUCCGCGCAGAAGUCGCCUAAGGGUGCAGCCGGACUCAGCACAACAAGUGCGAAAAAUUCCGACGUCUAUCACGAAGACUAUCCACGCAGAAGUCGCCUAAGGGUGCAGCCGGACUCAGCACAACAAGUGCGAAAAAUUCCGACGUCUAUCGCGAAGACUAUCCGCGCAGAAGUCGCCUAAGGGUGCAGCCGGACUUAGCACAACAAGUGCGAAAAAAUUCCGAUGUCUAUCGCGAAGACUAUCCGCGCAGAAGUCGCCUAAAGGUGCAGCCGGACUUAGCACAACAAGUGCGAAAAAAUUCCGAUGUCUAUCGCGAAGACUAUCCGUGCAGAAGUCGCCUAAGGGUGCAGCCGGACUUAGCACAACAAGUGCGAAAAAAUUCCGAUGUCUAUCGCGAAAACCAUCCGCGCAGAAGUCGCCUAAAGGUGCAGCCGGACUUAGCACAACGAGUGCGAGAAAUUCUGAUGUCUCCCACAAAGACUCCGCGCAGAAGCCGCCUCAGGGCGCGGUCAAACUAGUACAACAAAAGCAGAAGCGACAGUAUCAAACCAUCCGCGCUAAGACCGACUAUAAUCACACCAGCACAGCAUAGCCAACCAUGCCACACAAAGUACUCAGCGCCCUCGCAGGCACAGGCACGCGAGGGCACACAGCUUCAUCUUACAACCCUUUACACAUAUACAAGCGAGGGCACCACACUCUACAUCGGCUCCACCUUAGGAAUAAUACCCAUCUCCCUAUAAUUAAAUAACAUUAUCCUAAGCUCCUCACCCGCAAAAAGACUUCGCAGUUCCCCUUCCCCUAUGCUCGCGGCGGCCGGCAAAGACAACAGUUCCUGCCGACCAACCCUACUCACACGAAGCCGAGCCCCCUCCUCCGCGCUAACCCUACGUUUUGCAACCGCCCUUCGUCGGCGGCGCCCGGUGCUAGGGCCUGGCACGUCCGGCGCGUCCGCGGCGUGUGGCGAAGCCUCCGCCGCAGCAACGUCCAAGGCCGCAAAAUAAUCCAAGUCCUCCUCCGACGACUCCUCAGUCCACUCAACCGAGCUCCCAGAGUCAGUAAAAUCAAAAAACUCAGAUACAGACCCACCAUAUUCAUUUCCACCUUCCGCGGUCGAAGCCGCCAAAAACUCAGUAGUAGCGGUUGCGUGCGCAGGCCCAAACUCUCGAACCUGCGCAGCAACCAAAGUUCAGUACAACAUCCAAAAAGUCCCCAACCCUAAACACCCACUACGCCACCUGCGAAGGCCCUGCCGCUGCGGGAGCCUCCGCUGUCGCCUCCGCCGCUGCUUCCGCUACCACCGCCGCGGAAUCUUCAGCGCUCGGCGCAGCAGCUGCGGGGGCGUCAGGCGCGCCUUCGGCCACCUUUGGGGGCAGGCCUUCGCCGGCCACAGCAGAGGUGGGGACGCCCGGCGCGUCUUCCGCAGUCUCCAGGGUUGUUUCCAGGGCGACUCCAGUCGCAGCCUCCGCGAGGGUCAGCUCCGGGUCCGGCAGCGCGCUGUUCAGGGCCCCGAAGUCGUCCACCCGCUCGCCGCGCUCCGCCUAGAACAAGACACACAGAUUCAGCAAACAAACGCACAGCCCGCAUACAGCAAACGCCAAACAAACGACGUUACCUGAGCCCUCGCAGCCUCGGCCCGCUCCCUGACCACCUCACGACCGUACAGACCCCACAUCCGGUCAUAGAGGGCCCCGGCGGAUUCCUUCACCACGGGGUCUUCGACCUUAUAGAUAUCUCGAUCAAAAUCUUCAUCCGCCUGGUCGAAGGCCUCGAAGUGCCGGCACCCUUCGCGGGAGAGCGCGUCCAUCGCCCCCUCGCAGGUGACCAGGGAGGCGUACGACAUCAACCCCCCCAAGACGGCGGGAAGUUCCAGCAGCUCCUCCUGCACCCAUUGCAUACAGCGAAGCCCGGACUCUCGGUCCGGCACUUCGAAGUCACCGGUCCGCGCACCCAGCUCAUGAUAUGUAUCCAUAAGCUGCGUGCGCGUCCGUUCGGCCUCCGCAUGCGUUGCGGCCUCGGCCUCCUUAGCGCGGCUCUCCAGGGCGGUGAGCCGCUCCUGCAGAUGUUCGGCGAGCUCCUUGGCAAGAUUGCCCUCCGCCCGCGCCAGCUUGGCCUCCGCCUGAGCAGCCUGCCCCUUGGCGACGGCCUCGUUAGCUUCCCUCCUCUCCGCCGCCAGUUGGCGCCGGAGGUCAGCCUUCUCCCUCUCCAGGGCGGCCACCCUGUCCGUCAGCUUACGGCACUUGCUGUCGGAGGCCGACUUCUCACGGACAGCGUCAGCAUGUUGUGUCCGAAGUCUCUCGACUUCGGCAGACACAGCUGCCAUGAGGGCCCCCGACGCAGUACGGCUGGCGAAGUCAGCCACCUGCAGAGCCGCGACGCAGUACGUAAGACCGUCGCCCCAAAAGAGGUGGAGGAGAGAGUAUGGCUCAACGGACCUGACUCAGCGCCUCCGUCGCCUGACUCAGCGCCUCCGUCGCCACCUUCAGCCGGCGGGUCGCCGCGCCCGCCUCGUCCCUGACCAGCGCGAGGACCGACACCUCGCCUCCGGUGCCAAGCGCCUCGCCCCCCGCCUUCGGCGCCUUGGCGGCCGUCGCGAUCGCCGCGCCAGGCGCAACUACAGCAAGCUGGCCCUCGUCCGGCCCUGCAACGCAUCCACAAAUUAAAAAAAACAAUAAUAGACCAGCGACUUACCACCAAGAUAGUCAUCCACAGUAAUGUCGGUGCCGAAGUCGGCAACACGUUUGCCCGCCAACGGCAGCGCUCGGGCCGCCUUCGAAGCCUCCGCCACUCCGCUGGCCGGGGGCGCCACCUUCGUUGACUUGGAGCCUCCGGCGCCCGCCGUUGCCUCCGGCGCCUUGCUAGGCGCAGAGGCGCCCGCCUUCACCGCCAGCGGCGGCUUGCCUCUGCCGGAGGCCGCAGCCUUCGCAGUUCCCCGCUGCUUUUUCGGCCGAGCUUCGUGAAUCCUGACAGUCGCCUGGCGUUUUUGCGCCGCCCCUUGGCGAUCCUUGUCUAUCACUGUCCACACAACAGCACCGAUAUUUCGCCCGUAAGGAAAAACUCUCCACCGAUGAACCAUACGAGAUGUAAAACAGUCCUCCUCAGCCGCGCAGGGGAUAGGAACAUUUUUCGGCCAGCAACCCCCGGUAACCCUCAGCAUCCGAGCCGAAGACUCCCGGAGCUCGGGCGAAGACAUCCUUUCCCCCGGGGCCGCGCACGUCCUCAUUAACUCUCUAGCAAAACUAUCAGACACCCCAAGUCCCCCCAUCACAGUACCUAAUUUUCUCUUUUUUGAGGAGGGGGUGGCCGCCAGCGCAGGGUCGCCUCCAGUCUCCACCGCCGGUUUCUUCCCACGGCGGUCCGCUUCGUCUUGACCAGGAUAGCCGUCGUACGGCAAUUGAUUCAAUUCGAAGACCCUGUUCAAGCGCUCAUUUGACCCGCAGAUAUCAAAGCUGCGCUGGCCUUCAGUCCUCGGCACGUAACGUCCCACGAGCCGCACCGCCAAGUCCUCCGCAUCACGCACAAAGGCGGCCGGGUCACGAUUUCGCAAGUUCAGUGCGAAGGCAGGACUUCGCACCACCCGUCCUCCGUGAAAAGGCAUCUGGCGAGGGCACACUUCGCCCAGCGCCCAGCCGUGCGCCAAGGGCCAGACCCCGUACGCCACGAACUCUUCAACUAAAUCACGCCCACUGCUCUGAUCGGUAGCGCAUCGGAGGGCCCCUUCGUCUGCAUCCUCUUCUGCCACUUCAAAAGGCGGAUACGCAGAAUAAUAAUGAGAGCACAUCUCAGACACGGGGAGUCAUUUAUGGCCUUCGACAGUACCCUCCGCAACAUAAAACCAAAACUCAUUCCAAUUGCCCCACUUGUUGCGGGCGCACGGAACCAACUCCACUACUGGCAUUGUGGUCUUGCCGGUCUUCGGCGUGAAUGUGCACGACCCGAACUGGGCAACUCCGUCCCCAACCAUCCUCUUCUGCCAAUGCAAACAAUAAUUCUUCGCAAAAACUUCAACAGACGGCUGCCCGCCAUACGAAGUCGUCGCCCAGACAUACUUCGCCAGCGCCACCAUGGCAUUCGGUGUCAGCUAAUGUAUCUGAACAUUGAAUCUACGCAGGACUUCGCCGACAAACCGGUGCGUAGGCAAGCGGAGACCGGCGGCGAAGAACGCCUCGAAAACGACCAACUCACCCUCCGGCUCGGGGACUUCCUCCGUCCCCGGAGCACGAGCAACUCCGCCGCCAAAGUAGCCCAACCGCUGCAUAUCUUCAACGCGGGCUGACGUCAUCCGUGACGCACCAAAAUCAACAGAGUCGCCGGCGCGCAACUCCUCCACCAUCACGCUACUCAACGUCUCCUCAGACGAGGCGGCGGCCGGCGGCAUGGUGUCGGAGGAAGAAGAAGAGGACGGCAUUGCUACGUACCGUCGGCGGCGGCGGGCGGUUUGCUUCACUCGAGCCAGCACUCCGGCGAGCAAAAGGAGCAGCGGAAGAAGAAGAGCAGCAAGACGGCGGGAGGCUAGGGUUUUUACGGAGCGCGGAAGGCAAAGUUCAAACAGCGCCGACCCCCGCCCCUUUUAUAGGCAGGGCGCGGCUCUUCGGGAAACCCGCAAUCCGACAGGACGCGACGCUUCGGGAAACCCGCAAUCCAACAGUACGCCGUCCAUCAACGGUCACAUCAAAAACCCCCGCGGAACCACUUCGAGCGAGGGCAGCGUCUCCGCCAUCUAGCGACGUCUUCGGCACCAGGUGACUUUGUCGAACUGGUCCCUCGGAGGGCAAAUGUUGGGGCGAAGGCAGAGACGCCACCCUUCGUUCGUCGCCUUUCGCUGCAGUCGCUGGUUUGACGAAGACAAAACGGGCAGGGACACCCUUCGCUUUAUUCAGCACCAGACGAAGGCCUGCGGUGACGUCUCCCCGCGGCACGGCCUCGUCCUGCUCUGAGGCCCACGUGUGAUCUGGCCCAUUGUAACGGGCCCCGCGUGACCGCCGCUGUGUUACGGGCCUAGUUUGUAAAGGCAUUCUUGUAAGUACAGCUUGUAACCCUGCUUUAUGGGAAUAUUCUGGGGAUAAACUAGGUGUCCGAGGGCACAUGCGUCCUUAACACGAGGCGCUGGGCACUCAGAUACCUAUAAAUACCCCCACACAGUGCCCGUGAGAGGCUAGACAUUAACAGAGCUAUAGCCCCCGUGCACGUAACCCUGUUGUCACCACCGUUCUCCCUUGUUGGCUUCCUUGCUGCUGAGAGCAAGUACCAACACAUCCCUGAUUCUAGGAACGGAGCCGUUCUGUUCUGUGUUUGGUAAUCUGUAACGGAGCGGCUCUGUUUUUUGUUUGGUUGCAGAGUGAACGGAACAGAGCGUGACUGUGAGAGCGGGAUGGGAACGGAGCGGCUCCGUCCGCUUGAUUUUUUGGAGCGGAAUGGUUCCGAAUCUGAGGAGAAUAUUCCCUAAUUGGAGCCAUUCCGUUAUAGUUCCUUUAUAACCAAACAACAACAAAACUGGGACAGAACGGUUCCGUUCUACUUGGCUCUUCAACCAAACACUACCUAAGAGAACAGGGGUCAAACUGCAAGUUCUAGGGACUAGGAUUAAAUCUCCCUUAACUGCAUAUGGACUGGGGGUUAAUUCGUAAGAUUUCCAGGGGUUCUUUAGCAACUAUGGCUGGCAGCAGUACGUGCACGCACACAGAGCAGCUAGAUCUUCAUCCUACUGACAUGACUAAACAGAGCGUACAGGUACGACACGAUUUAAUCUCGACCGCUAUGAUUUUAAAGUGGAGGAUUUGGUCACAACCGUUCACAAAGGGAUCUAUGGCUGAGAUUCUAAGGUUAUGUGCUCUAUCCUACACCAUGCAUGACGAUCGGACGGCGGGGAGAUCAUCCCCUCCCCCCCCCCCCCCCCCCCCCCCCCCCCCGAUCAUGCUGGCGGCAGUGGUACCAACAUCCACGACGACGGCGACCGGCCACACCCAUCGGACGCAAUAGCACCCGGAUCUCAAUAAUUCAUGGGUGCAUGGCAAACCUUGAAUCGUAAGGCUCACACCGAUGCUCCCCAAAUCUUGGCUAAUCGCAGUAGCAUGCCCCUCCACGGUGACAGGAAGCACUCGGCGGACGCCUGACUUCGACAAACAAUUAACAACGCCCAGGAACUCUACUCCACGUAAUGCCGAAAGCAAAUGAAAGUGAAGGACGAAGCAAACUCGGGAGAACGCUUACCAGUGCUCGAAGCAAUGGUGCGGCUAUACUCAAGGCUUACGGCGGUGGAGCCCAUCGUUAGGGAUGGUGCCGAGCGCGGCCCGAAUCGGGUGACGCAAGAACUCCGGUGGGGAUCAGGGUUAGCACGUGAGGCGAGCCUCUUUUUAUGGGUUGGUGAGGCGACCAGCUGGAGCCAAGCGCGCA